This 188-nucleotide unclassified non-coding RNA is filed under the name uncultured Ascomycota. RNAcentral describes it as "sequence contains ITS2". Lineage: Eukaryota; Fungi; Ascomycota. The record is from RNAcentral.
UCACCCUUCAAGCCCUCGGGUUUGGUGUUGGACGGUUUUGGCGGGACCUGCAGCGUCCCACCCCUCCUAAAGACAAUGACGGUGGCCUCGUUAGACCCCCGGUACACUGAGCUUCUUAACCGAGCAUGUACUGGAUGCGGGUACGUGGGGCACGGUCUACCUCCCCUCAGGGAGAGUUUCCUUUUCAA